Hordeum vulgare subsp. vulgare (domesticated barley) is the source of this 138-nucleotide non-coding RNA. NCBI's taxonomy places the organism in Eukaryota, Viridiplantae, Streptophyta, Magnoliopsida, Poales, Poaceae. The record is from Rfam.
UAUGUACUCCCUUCGUUUCAAAAUUUUUGUCUUAGAUUUGUUUAGAUANGAAUGUAUCUAGUCAAGUUUUAGUACAUUUAGAUACAUUCGUUUCUAGAUAAAGCUAAGACAAUAAUUUUUGUGCGGAGGGAGUACAAA